AGAGAGAGAAGAGAGAAGAAG
Molecule: small RNA, 21 nt
Filed under: Arabidopsis thaliana (thale cress)
Lineage: Eukaryota; Viridiplantae; Streptophyta; Magnoliopsida; Brassicales; Brassicaceae
Description: ATSL180370
Source: RNAcentral